Molecule: ribosomal RNA, 1472 nt
Filed under: Microdesmus bahianus
Lineage: Eukaryota; Metazoa; Chordata; Actinopteri; Gobiiformes; Gobiidae
Description: partial 16S ribosomal RNA
Rfam family: Bacterial large subunit ribosomal RNA
Source: RNAcentral
ACCCCACAAGCUAGCCCACCCCUUAAAACCAACAAACCUAAUUAAUAACCCCUCAUCCACUACAAGAGCACAAGCAAACCAUUUUUCCACCCUAGUAUAGGAGAUAGAAAAGGACCCAAGGCGCUAUAGAAAAGUACCGCAAGGGAAAGCUGAAAGAGAUAUGAAAAAGCUCAGUCAAGGACCCCAAAGCAGAGAUACAGCCUCGUACCUUUUGCAUCAUGAGUUAGCUAGUAGUACUCAAGCGAAAGGAAUUGUACGUUUGAACCCCCGAAACUUGGCGAGCUACUCCGAGACAGUCUAUUUUAGGACAAACCCGUCUCUGUUGCAAAAGAGUGGGACGAUCUCCGAGUAGAGGUGACAGACCUACCGAGCCUAGUAAUAGCUGGUUUCCUGAGAAUAGAAUAGAAGUUCACCCCCUUGCUCUUCUCCCGCCCACUAAGAUGUAACCGCCAACAGGCUAGGAGCAAGCCAAGGGAGCUAUUCGGUGAAGGUACACCUUCACCGAAAGAAGAUACAACUUUAUUAGGAGGUUAAAGAUCAUAACCCAUAAGGUGUUUACCCAAGUGGGCCUAAAAGCAGCCACCCUGACAGACAGCGUUAAAGCUCAAGUAUGCGCACCCUUAGAUUCCGAUUGAUAUAUCCGCCACCCCUUAACCUAUCAGGACCUUCCAUGCAUAUGGAAAAGAUAAUGCUAACACGAGUAAUAAGAGGGACCGACCCUCUCGAGUGCACCAGUGUACACCAGAUCGAACCCCCACUGAAAAUUAACGCCCCCCAUUACAGAGGGACAAGGGACAACCCACAGACAACUAGACAAGACCCCACCCGACGGAAGCGUUAACCCCACACAGGUGUGCGUCACGAAAGAUGAAAAGGAAGAGAAGGAACUCGGCAAACCAUGGCCUCGCCUGUUUACCAAAAACAUCGCCUCUUGCCCCAACAGUAUAAGAGGUCCCGCCUGCCCUGUGACGAAAGUUUAACGGCCGCGGUAUUUUGACCGUGCAAAGGUAGCGUAAUCACUUGUCUUUUAAAUAGAGACCUGUAUGAAUGGCAUAACGAGGGCUAAGCUGUCUCCUCUCCCCCCAUCAAUGAAAUUGAUCUGCCCGUGCAGAAGCGGGCAUGCUUACAUAAGACGAGAAGACCCUAUGGAGCUUAAGACAAAUGGCGGCCCACGUUAAGACCCCUCCUUUAAGAGGACAGAACCAAGAGGACCCUGCCGCUAUGUCUUUGGUUGGGGCGACUGCGGAGAACCAACAAACCCCCGCGAGGACAAGGGCUGACCCCCUAAAACCAGAGCCACAGCUCUACUUAUCAGAAAUUCUGACCACCCAGAUCCGGCACAGCCGAUCAACGGACCCAGUUACCCUAGGGAUAACAGCGCAAUCCCCUUCUAGAGCCCAUAUCGACAAGGGGGUUUACGACCUCGAUGUUGGAUCAGGACCUCCUAAUGGUGCAGCCGCUAUUAAGGGUUC